UAACCUGCAAAAGCGAGAUUGUAGGGA
This 27-nucleotide non-coding RNA is filed under the name Bombyx mori (domestic silkworm). Lineage: Eukaryota; Metazoa; Arthropoda; Insecta; Lepidoptera; Bombycidae. The record is from RNAcentral.